Pezoporus flaviventris is the source of this 445-nucleotide long non-coding RNA. RefSeq lists it as uncharacterized. Lineage: Eukaryota; Metazoa; Chordata; Aves; Psittaciformes; Psittacidae. The transcript is spliced from 3 exons. The record is from RefSeq and is a predicted model, not a curated record.
UCUCAGUGCAUUGUUCUGCUCAGAAACAUUAUUGUCUGCGUUUUUGUUUUUCUUCUUUCCAGAGCUCUGUGGAGAAAGUGGUGGCUGGCUCUGUCUCCGUUCCUCAGGUGGUCCCAUUUGGAAUCCCUCUUCCAGGGAAGGCUAACCAUGAAGGAGAUACAAAUGCUCUUGUAGAAAUGAAAUCAGGUCUGAGUAAGAGCUCUGAAUCCAGAUGGCACCAUAUCUUGAAUGCAGACAUCUGCUGCCAGUGACUACACCCGCUUGCAUUGGAUGGGAGUCACCAAUAGCUCCACAGAUGCAGCCCCAAACCAACAUCUGCAUAAAGGUCUUGUCUCUCCUCACUGCAGAGCAUGAGAGACUGAAUCAGCCUUGCUCAGGGUAAGUGCUAAUCAGAAACCACUAUACAAUCGGUGUGUUACCAGCGUUAUCCUCAGACUAAAGCCCG